GACGAACGCUGGCGGCGUGCUUAACACAUGCAAGUCGAACGGAAAGGCCCUGCUUUUGUGGGGUGCUCGAGUGGCGAACGGGUGAGUAACACGUGAGUAACCUGCCCUUGACUUUGGGAUAACUUCAGGAAACUGGGGCUAAUACCGGAUAGGAGCUCCUGCUGCAUGGUGGGGGUUGGAAAGUUUCGGCGGUUGGGGAUGGACUCGCGGCUUAUCAGCUUGUUGGUGGGGUAGUGGCUUACCAAGGCUUUGACGGGUAGCCGGCCUGAGAGGGUGAGCGGCCACAUUGGGACUGAGAUACGGCCCAGACUCCUACGGGGGGCAGCAGUGGGGAAUAUUGCACAAUGGGCGGAAGCCUGAUGCAGCAACGCCGCGUGCGGGAUGACGGCCAUCGGGUUGUAAACCGCUUUCGCCUGUGACGAAGCGAGAGUGACGGUAAUGUGUAAAGAAGCACCGGCUAACUACGUG
This 468-nucleotide ribosomal RNA is filed under the name uncultured bacterium. RNAcentral describes it as "partial 16S ribosomal RNA". It matches the Rfam family "Bacterial small subunit ribosomal RNA", at positions 28 to 507 of the family's 1533-position model. The record is from RNAcentral.